This 384-nucleotide ribosomal RNA is filed under the name uncultured bacterium. RNAcentral's name for it is "bacterial SSU rRNA". It matches the Rfam family "Bacterial small subunit ribosomal RNA", at positions 29 to 414 of the family's 1533-position model. The record is from RNAcentral.
ACGAACGCUGGCGGCGUGCUUAACACAUGCAAGUCGAGCGGUAAGGCCCUUUCGGGGGUACACGAGCGGCGAACGGGUGAGUAACACGUGGGUGACCUGCCCUCAGCUCUGGGAUAAGCCUGGGAAACCGGGUCUAAUACUGGAUAUGACUCCAUGACGCAUGUUGUGGGGUGGAAAGCCUUGUGCGGCUGAGGAUGGGCCCGCGGCCUAUCAGCUUGUUGGUGGGGUGAUGGCCUACCAAGGCGACGACGGGUAGCCGGCCUGAGAGGGCGACCGGCCACACUGGGACUGAGACACGGCCCAGACUCCUACGGGAGGCAGCAGUGGGGAAUCUUGCGCAAUGGGCGAAAGCCUGACGCAGCGACGCCGCGUGAGGGAUGACGG